AUGGAAAUCUCUGUAAAUUUU
This 21-nucleotide transfer RNA is filed under the name Acacia furcatispina. RNAcentral's name for it is "partial tRNA-His". Lineage: Eukaryota; Viridiplantae; Streptophyta; Magnoliopsida; Fabales; Fabaceae. The record is from RNAcentral.